CCUACGGGAGGCAGCAGUGGGGAAUAUUGCGCAAUGGGCGAAAGCCUGACGCAGCGACGCCGCGUGAGGGAUGAAGGUCUUCGGAUCAUAAACCUCUGUCAGCAGGGAAGAACGGUCACUGUGCUAAUCAGCAGUGAAUUGACGGUACCUGCAAAGGAAGCACCGGCUAACUCCGUGCCAGCAGCCGCGGUAAUACGGAGGGUGCGAGCGUUAAUCGGAAUUACUGGGCGUAAAGCGCUCGUAGGCGGUAGGUCAAGUCAAGGGUGAAAUCCCCGGGCUCAACGUGGGAACUGCAUUUGAAACUGGUAAACGGGAGUGUGGGAGAGGUAGGUGGAAUUCCAGGUGUAGGAGUGAAAUCCGUAGAUAUCUGGAGGAACAUCAGUGGCGAAGGCGACUAUCUGGCACAUAACUGACGCUGAGGAGCGAAAGCGUGGGUAGCAAACAGGAUUAGAUACCCCUGUAGUC
RNAcentral lists this ribosomal RNA (465 nucleotides) under uncultured bacterium. RNAcentral describes it as "partial 16S ribosomal RNA". It matches the Rfam family "Bacterial small subunit ribosomal RNA", at positions 338 to 795 of the family's 1533-position model. The record is from RNAcentral.